UCCUUCUAUUUUCUGGUCAAACCAUCGAGGCUGUGUAGGAGAGAGCGUCCUUUCAUAUCUCUCUCUCUCUCUCUCUCUCUCUCUCUCAUUCCAUCCCUGUCCUCCGUCCGCGUGUUUUGCUUUGUGUUACUCUGUCUGGACACAUAGCUGUUGAUAUUGUUCUGGUCUCUAUAAGAAGCUCUUUGUAUGUACACAUCUUUGCUUGUUGAUUUGGUCUUUGUUGACAUGGAAAGCUGCCUGUCUCUCGUUAAUAUCCAUUAGACUUCUCCUUUCCUCUCAUCCCCCCUCUCUCCCUCUCCCUGUAUAAGUGGACUUACUCUCUUCUCUGAGUCUGACUCAAUAUAUGUGCAUCUGUGCCUCUUGGCAUUCCUCUGACUGAAAGAGUAACAGAGUCCAUUUGCAAUAUACUAUUUUUGGUGCUUGGAAUUUGUGUAUUUUUUAUUUUUAAGUUUUGAAAUUGUUGUGAAUGUUUUGGGAUUUUGGAUUUCCAGAAGGAUUUUUAAAAUCUCCUUUGGAUAUAUAUAUAUAUUUUUUUUGUCCCUGUUUUUUUUUCUUUUGUGGAUUUUGGAGCCUUUUGCUGACAGUACUGGAAAAAUACUCUCGUUUUUUUCCCUUGCUAAGAGUCUCAGCCCUGAGCUUCUCCAUGGAGUGUCAACGUGAGACCCCCGUCAGAUCGUAUUCCUCACCUUGCUAAUGAGAGCAUGACUGCUCACUAAACAGGGAAAUUGUCUGAACAAACCAUUGUGUCCUGAGUUCUGAACAGGGCUGCACGGAACCCUCAGAGAAACCACCCCAGUUCCUGAGGUCCUCAUCCAGGCUGAAUAUCUUUGAAGAGAAACCGUAAAUUCAGCUACAUAAGCACUUUUCAUUUUUCUCAUUGCAUUUUUCUCUUUUCACUGUUGUUCUUUGAGCUGCUUAGAAGAUGAGAACUCAUGCAAAGCUGUUUGCAAUAAUGCUCACCAGUGAAGCACAGUGACUGGGAACGUUCUGAUAACGGCAUAAAAGGCACAAAACUGGCAUAAAAGGUUGGGAGCCAUGGAGGCAGUUCCUGGCUACUCCCCGUCUUUCUGGGUGAGGGUGUGUCAUGCCCUGCCUCGGCUGGACUUCAACUUGCAAACCCAGGACAACGUCUUCAGCCCCGACAGCUGGGAGUACCAGCAGACCCUGCUGGUUCUGUCGAGCCUGUCAGCCAUUGCCUUGCUUCUGUCCCUCCUGGUCGUGCUCUGCUUCCUGAUUCACUACUGCUGCUGUCACCGUGCCGAUGGGGGCUCUGGCUCCGAGGAGGACGAGGACGAAGACACCAGUGGGGGACGCGGAUAUGGUGGCAGGAAGCAGGCGGGCAUCUGCUGUGUCACUUGGGUCUCGGUGACAGCUGUCACUCUCUGUUGCGUUGCCAUCGGCAUUGGUUUCUAUGGCAACAGUGAAGCCAACGAUGGAAUGUAUCAACUGACCUCUUCGCUUCUCACAGCCAAUUAUACACUGGGCUCUAUAAAUCUGCUGGUGUCGGACACGAUCGUGGGGCUGCAGCUCUCUGUUUCUGGGCCCCUGACCACGCUGGAGGAGCUUUUCAGCACCAGCAUGCCGUUCCUGGUGUCCACUCGCACCUGUAGACGCCUGUCAGAGACAGUGGUGACCACCCUCUCCUCCCUGACGCUAGGCCCGCCUCCCAAGAUUCCCCCACUGAGAGGCAGAGGGAUUAAUGGCAGCAGUGUGCUCACCCCUCCCCCUCCCACCCUCAUGCCCCCCUCUCUUGCUCCCCCACCCACUAUCCUCGCCUCUCCUGUGUCUGGGCCUUUCUCUCCUGGCUGGGCAGCCAACACACUGAUGGUGAAUGAGGACUACAGGUGGCUGUCUUACGUGCUGCUGCUGCUGCUGGACCUGGUGGUGUGCCUCUUCAUCCUCCUGGGACUGGCAAAGCAGGCACGGUGGCUCCUGGUCCUGAUGACUGUGCUUGCUUGGCUGGCCCUCUUCCUUAGCUGGGGCUCCUUGGGGCUGGAAACGGCCACCGUGGUGGCUCUAAGUGACUUUUGCUCUGAUCCCAACACCUUUGUAGUCAACUCCUCUCAUUUUAAUUCGGGAACCAGCGCAGAAAUACUGGAUUACUACCUGAUGUGCAGCAAACAGAUGAGCAGUCCUUUCCAGCAGCUGCUGACCCAGUCCCAGAGGGCGCUGUCCAGCAUUCACACGCACCUCGCCAGCCUGGAACGAGAGGCCCUCUCACAGUUCCCUAAAGCAGAGAGGCCACUUAAGGAGGUCCAGCUGAUUCUCAAUGCGACGGAGAGUAACUUCCACCAACUCGUCGCUCUGCUGAACUGUCGAGGUCUUAACAAGGAUUACACGGACUCUCUGAAAGGCCUGUGUUUUGAUGGCAUAGAAGGGCUACUCUGUCUCUCGCUCUAUUCCUUCCUUUCUGCGCUGGCAUUCACCGCCAUCCUCUGCUCUUUGCCUGGGGCCUGGAGGACCUUCCCCAGUGAUUUAGAAGAGUAUGAAGACUCCGACAGUGAGAAUGAGGACCCCUUCACUUCUCAUCAGGCACGUAGACAGACGGCCAUGGGUCCCCAGCGUGGGGCCCUACCCACCUUCUAUACUUACCAGGGGGCCAGCUGGAUUCCCCCGUUUUCUAGUGCACCGCCCCUCCCUCUGUCUUUCAGUGUAAGACAGGCAUAGGUUGGCCUCUACGAGACAAAACUCAUAUUCAGAAGAACUAUGACCUUAUGUAGGACUCCAAACGCUUCCUGCAAUGGCAGCCCUGGCUAUGAGGCCAUGCCCCUGGUGGCCAGACGGCCCUCACCUCCCUCUGUGAGUUCCUCUGCUCUGGCAACGUUCCCACCAUGAUGGCUAUUAAUGCAAGCUCGUUUUCAGUGAUGCAUGUUUGUUGACUUUUAUACCUGUGGAUUUAUUGAAAUCUGAUGCAGAAACUUACUAUAAGACCCAGUGAUUUACUGAUCAAUUAACUAAUACCACUUUGUUUGAUUAUGGAAACAUACUAACUUUCAACAUAUAUGACAUUCAGGAAAUAACUGUUUUCUUUCUUCUCUGUCUUCCGAAUCCCUUCGUGAUCUUCUUAUGGAUCAAUGUUUCUGGCCGAACAGUAUUCUCUCCCAGCAUGUUAACUGGCUACAGGGACAGUGAAUCAAAGCCAAGUCCUGCCCACUCAAGAAAUUCGCAUUUACACUAAUUAAUUAAUGUUUGUAUAAGUAUACCAAAUGUUCAGUUUCAUAAAAAUGGAAACAUUACUGAUACAAAGAAGCUAAUCUCCAUACAUAAAGUUGGUAACAUUAUUACCGUUGAUAUGAGUUUUAAAUGAAUGGACCCCUUGAUUGGUAAGCCUUGUCCCUUUUUCUCCAGUAAAUGUCAGGGAUUUAAUAAGAGAACAGAGUCUGGGAACCAUGAGCCAGUCAAGUCAGUCUUCGUGAACUGUUUCAAGAUGGUGGUGGUGAUUUAUCUGAUCACAAGUUUGUGUUUUAUAUUGCAUUAGAAAUUACACGUUUUCAGUGUUACUGGUUUGCAGUUUCCUUACUUUUUGGAUCUUUUUUUCCCCCGAAGAUGCUAAACAACUUGCAGAUUCUUAACAUUGACCUUAUUAUUGUAACAAUAACGUGUGUGGGUGCUGCUCCCAGUAACUUCGGCUGAAGCAGGAUCAAAUUGUGUCAAUAGCAAUAAUGCAAAGAGAAGAGAGCGGUACAGUGUCUGUGUUUGUAGGAGCUCUCCUCCUGAUGGUCUGUAUAUAUAUAGCAUGCUGGAGAUUGUACCGAGUCCCUUUAUCAGCCUUGUCGAUCCUUAAACCAAGUUUGUAUGGUAUUAAUGCUCCUUUUGAAUGGCACUGUUUUUCAUUCCAGAUUCUACUACAGAUAAAUUAAUAAUAAAAUCUUGUCUUGGCAAGUAUAGAGAA
Brienomyrus brachyistius is the source of this 3892-nucleotide RNA transcript. It is a transcript of the gene named tweety family member 1, with no coding region annotated. The record is from RefSeq and is a predicted model, not a curated record. The transcript is spliced from 15 exons. NCBI's taxonomy places the organism in Eukaryota, Metazoa, Chordata, Actinopteri, Osteoglossiformes, Mormyridae.